This is a long non-coding RNA of Ornithorhynchus anatinus (platypus), 1807 nucleotides long. RefSeq lists it as uncharacterized. The transcript has 3 exons. NCBI's taxonomy places the organism in Eukaryota, Metazoa, Chordata, Mammalia, Monotremata, Ornithorhynchidae. The record is from RefSeq and is a predicted model, not a curated record.
ACCACUGCUGCUUCCCAAUAACACGAAUCCCCAAAGAUCCACAACUCAGGGUCCCAAAGUUCACCUGGGGACACUGCUCUCCACAACAAAUUGCCAUCAUUACCUGAGAUGCUUUUGAAAAGAUGGAGGCUCAAAGGCAGUCAUCCAAAGAGUCAGAGGCACUGUGGGAAGGUGUUCUGACCUUCUGAUGUGUGGCUUUGUGCUCAGUCAACAUUUGUCAGCCCUUGCAGGUUGUCUCUUGGAAGACUCUCAGAGACAUGGUUACCAAAAUACAUCCAUCAGAAAGGAAUCACAGGAAUAAACAGUGAGGUAAGCUUGAGAAAUCGUGGAUGGGAAGUUUGAAGGAGAGGGUCAAAUUACAGGGCGUUUGGCAUCAUUUCUCCUGUUUUUACCAACUAGAGCUAAGAGAAAGCACAAUUCCAGACUAAACUUUCUAUUCUGAAUGGCCUGAUUUGCUUAAGUCAUUUAGGCUACUGCUCUGAAUUUAAGACUUGAGGACCAAAUACAUAUUUUUAAUCACUUUUUAGAGAUUUCAUGGAAGAUUAUUUACCUCCAUGACCAGGCACAUUCUUUGGACAUACGCAGUUCAGAAGCCACCCUGAUAUAACAGGAAUUUAAACACUGUUUUAAGUACAUUAGCUAUGCCUCUUAAAUCUAACUACGCAAUGUCUUUUAUCUUCCUAAUCCAGUGGUACUGGAAAACAAUGAGUGUCUCAACUUUCUCAAGAGCAUACUAGCUUUCUCAACAAUCUUUUUCCUUGGAUUGUCCUUUUUUCUCACCUUUCAAUUUUAAUCUUUUCUUUAAUUCUUGCCUAAGAGGUUUUAUAAGUGGUUUUCCUCCUAGCCCUACCUACUAACAGGGGGAAAAAAACCAACCACCUUCCAUUAGCUUUUCUAAAGCUUUAUAAAGAGCACAAAUUAUUCAUUUUACUUUUCUCACUCUUUUCUACCCUUUACAAUUUUCCACGGUCUGUGAAUAUUUAUAAAUCAGACAUUCACCUGUGCUAUUUACAGUUGCAUCUUUAGUGAAGGUUUAGAAUGCUUAUUUUGGGCCAUUACAAAUAUUCCUAAAUUUACCCAGGAGGACCAAAGCUGCAGGCUCCUUAAACCCAUUUAUGCAUUUGUCUUACCACUAGACACAUACCUUUGCUACUGUGCUACAUCUGAGAUUCAAAUAGAAAAUAUGUUCAUGAAAAAUAUUAGUGAGAGAAUAUUAUUUUCUACAUUAACACACCCAAUUGGAAAAAUAUCAAUUAUUCUUUGGAGGCCAAGAACUUGUCCCUUUAAUUCUUUCAAGCAAGAAACUUUCUUGGUCCAAGACUAUACUAAAAUCAUGGGUUUGAUAGCUAUGGCCCUUCAACCCCUAGCUCCCCAAUUUUGUAAGAUGUUAGUGUAGUUGGUCUGAAGAAGAACAAACGACUGAGCAUAAAUAACGACUGAGCAUAAAUAUCUGCUGAGCUCAUACUUGGAAACAUGCCAAAUCCAGCAGCUGCCUAGUGGGGAAAUGGUCAACUCUGAAGAUACUUGAAGAGAAAAGAUUAUUGUAAAAUAGUCAUUUCAUAACAGGGCUUUUUUUUUUUUUUACCAGUUAAGUAACCACAGUUAAAAAUAAUCAGGAGUUUGAGUCACAUCUUAAGACUUUAGAAUUGGGCACAUUUCUUUUUUAGAGUUGUGGACUAGUUAGCUUUGUAUUGUCAAUUCUCUCCCUUUCUUAACACCAGCACUGAGACCCAAAUGGUUUCUCAAAAGGUAGUAAUGCUCACUGGUUGGGCUUGUAUUGAUCGGCAAAGAGUUAUGGAAUUAUUCC